UCCGUAGGUGAACCUGCGGAAGGAUCAUUAUCGAG
Molecule: ribosomal RNA, 35 nt
Filed under: Irpex laceratus
Lineage: Eukaryota; Fungi; Basidiomycota; Agaricomycetes; Polyporales; Irpicaceae
Also listed under: 1 other name
Description: Emmia lacerata partial 18S rRNA
Source: RNAcentral